AGAGUUUGAUCCUGGCUCAGAUUGAACGCUGGCGGCAGGCUUAACACAUGCAAGUCGAGCGGUAACAUUUCUAGCUUGCUAGAAGAUGACGAGCGGCGGACGGGUGAGUAAUGCUUGGGAAUAUGCCUUUGAGUGGGGGACAACAGUUGGAAACGACUGCUAAUACCGCAUAACGUCUACGGACCAAAGGGGGGGAUCUUCGGACCUCUCGCUCAUUGAUUAGCCCAAGUGAGAUUAGCUAGUUGGUAAGGUAAUGGCUUACCAAGGCGACGAUCUCUAGCUGGUUUGAGGGGAUGAUCAGCCACACUGGGACUGAGACACGGCCCAGACUCCUACGGGAGGCAGCAGUGGGGAAUAUUGCACAAUGGGCGAAAGCCUGAUGCAGCCAUGCCGCGUGUGUGAAGAAGGCCUUCGGGUUGUAAAGCACUUUCAGUUGUGAGGAAAGGGGUGUAGUUAAUAGCUGCAUCCUGUGACGUUAACAACAGAAGAAGCACCGGCUAACU
Molecule: ribosomal RNA, 503 nt
Filed under: uncultured bacterium
Lineage: Bacteria
Description: bacterial SSU rRNA
Rfam family: Bacterial small subunit ribosomal RNA
Source: RNAcentral